CUCAGAUUGAACGCUGGCGGCAUGCCUUACACAUGCAAGUCGAACGGUAACAGGUCUUCGGAUGCUGACGAGUGGCGAACGGGUGAGUAAUACAUCGGAACGUGCCUAGUAGUGGGGGAUAACUACUCGAAAGAGUGGCUAAUACCGCAUGAGAUCUACGGAUGAAAGCAGGGGAUCGCAAGACCUUGUGCUACUAGAGCGGCCGAUGGCAGAUUAGGUAGUUGGUGGGAUAAAAGCUUACCAAGCCGACGAUCUGUAGCUGGUCUGAGAGGACGAUCAGCCACACUGGGACUGAGACACGGCCCAGACUCCUACGGGAGGCAGCAGUGGGGAAUUUUGGACAAUGGGCGCAAGCCUGAUCCAGCAAUGCCGCGUGCAGGAUGAAGGCCUUCGGGUUGUAAACUGCUUUUGUACGGAACGAAAAGCCCUGGGUUAAUACCCUGGGGUCAUGACGGUACCGUAAGAAUAAGCACCGGCUAACUACGUGCCAGCAGCCGCGGUAAUACGUAGGGUGCGAGCGUUAAUCGGAAUUACUGGGCGUAAAGCGUGCGCAGGCGGUUUUGUAAGACAGAGGUGAAAUCCCCGGGCUCAACCUGGGAACUGCCUUUGUGACUGCAAGGCUAGAGUACGGCAGAGGGGGAUGGAAUUCCGCGUGUAGCAGUGAAAUGCGUAGAUAUGCGGAGGAACACCGAUGGCGAAGGCAAUCCCCUGGGCCUGUACUGACG
This 725-nucleotide ribosomal RNA is filed under the name Comamonas sp. SMCC B0669. RNAcentral's name for it is "bacterial SSU rRNA". It matches the Rfam family "Bacterial small subunit ribosomal RNA", at positions 23 to 745 of the family's 1533-position model. The record is from RNAcentral. Lineage: Bacteria; Pseudomonadati; Pseudomonadota; Betaproteobacteria; Burkholderiales; Comamonadaceae.